Molecule: long non-coding RNA, 1050 nt
Filed under: Equus caballus (horse)
Lineage: Eukaryota; Metazoa; Chordata; Mammalia; Perissodactyla; Equidae
Description: lncRNA (ENSECAG00000057885.1)
Source: RNAcentral
GGGGGUGCUGCAGUAACACAGACCUAAGAAUGUGGAAGCAGCUCGGGAACUCAGGGGUUGCAAGUUUUGCGGCGGCUGCUAGAAAAAGCCCCCACUGCCAUGAACAGACCGUGACGGGGAUUCUGGUGAGAGCCCAGAGAGAGAAGAGGACCCAGUCCUCGUAGAGAAUGCCUAAGGGGCCCUGAACAGAAUGCUGGCCGAAACCUGGACGUCAAGGCCAUUCUGAUGAGCUCUCGGAUGGAAAUGAGGAUCAGGCUCUCUCUUUAUAACAAGAGUUGUAAUCCUUGUGAUAAAGCAGCCCGGCUGGAUUAAGCGUGCGUGUCCUAGUUUGGUAGAAGGUAGGACUUGUGAGCCGUGAAAUCAGAUCUUCGCUGAGGGAAUUUCCAAGCAAAGUGGAAGAGCUGAAGGAGGGGCCUGGUUUCUUUUGAAUACUCCCAGUAAAACACAAGAAGAGAGGAAUGGUCUAAAGAUGGAACUGGUAACCAGAAAGGAAGCAGACCUUAAAAAUUUGGAAAAUUCUCAGCUUUCCCUUAUUGAAAAUAAUGCAAAAGCCUGUUCAGAGAGGGCACGAAGGGUGUGGCCGAAAUGAUAAGGAGAUUGGCGUGGAUAGGCCUUCCCAGCUAAGCUAGGAGCCAUCUGUCAGGACAAUGGGGAGAUUAGUCAGCCACGUAAACAGAAGCCGGGGCCUACUGUCCCAGACGGUGGAAGAAUGACCCCAAGGCAUUUCAGAGACCAUGGAGGUGCCCCUCCCAUCACAGGCCCAAGAGCCUGUGGGGCAGAUUUCAAGCCUCUGCUCCCAGCUUUCUGGUACCACCUCUGCCAGUGCACAGAAAGCAAGAGCCAUGGGGGCCUUGCCACCUGCACCUGGAUUUUGAAGGAUGGAGUGACCUGGAGCCUUGGGCUCACGACCCAGGCAGAGACCCAUGCCCCAUACAGGUGGGGCCGCUGCAGAGAGCCCUACUAGGGUGACCCUAGAUGGACAGAGACAUCGGGAGCUGCAGGUGAGACCCAUGAACAGUUAGCCGUUAAUGACUAGCUGGCUCGUAACGG